AACCCUCGACCUUAGUUGCCAGCAUUCAGUUGGGCACUCUAAGGUGACUGCCGGCUAAAAGUCGGAGGAAGGUGGGGAUGACGUCAAAUCAUCAUGCCCCUUAUGACCUGGGCUACACACGUGCUACAAUGGGCGGUACAAAGGGUCGCGAACCCGCGAGGGGGAGCCAAUCCCAAAAAGCCGCUCUCAGUUCGGAUUGCAGGCUGCAACUCGCCUGCAUGAAGCCGGAAUCGCUAGUAAUCGCGGAUCAGCAUGCCCGCGGUCCGAAUCGUUCCGGCCUU
This 281-nucleotide ribosomal RNA is filed under the name uncultured Anoxybacillus sp. RNAcentral's name for it is "partial 16S ribosomal RNA". It matches the Rfam family "Bacterial small subunit ribosomal RNA", at positions 1100 to 1363 of the family's 1533-position model. Lineage: Bacteria; Bacillati; Bacillota; Bacilli; Caryophanales; Anoxybacillaceae. The record is from RNAcentral.